Molecule: long non-coding RNA, 2646 nt
Filed under: Gossypium barbadense (sea-island cotton)
Lineage: Eukaryota; Viridiplantae; Streptophyta; Magnoliopsida; Malvales; Malvaceae
Description: long non-coding RNA (GBAR_LNC009132)
Source: RNAcentral
UAACUCAUAUUGUUAUCAGAAAAAUAUAGGGUAUAAGAUAAAAUAAUCCCAAAAAAAUAAUUAAAAUGGCCUUAUUACAACCCAAAACCAAAUAAUAAUAUUAAUAAGAUAAAACUUAUAAAGAAAUAAAUCGACUACUUAUUACAAUUAAAAGAAACAGAAACAGUAUUGUGGCCAUCUCUGAGUCCCUCGCAGCUCCAAACCAUCUAAGCUUAGGGAUUACCUGCACAGUUAGAAACGGGGUGAGUUUACUAAAACUCAGUGUGUAAUCCCAAUAACAAACAAACAGUAAAUAACACGGUAUCAGUACAAUCUGGGCCAAAGCCCUAUUGAGUCUUGACAUAUACUGGGCCAAAGCCUUUCCAUAAAUCAUAUAUUGGGCCGAGCCUUUUAAUAAAUCAUAUCACUAGGCCGAAGCCUUUUCAUAAAUCAUAUCACUGGGCCGAAGCCUUUACUGUAAACAGUAUGGCCCUUAGGCCCAUUUCAAUAUCACAUGUAAUGUCAAUGGAUGUAUGCAAGCCCAUUUCAAUAUCACAUGUAAUGUCAAUGAAUGUAUGCAAGCCCAUUUGGGGAGACUACUCAACCCACCAUCCGCUACUCUCCACCCGUACCAACCAAGCUCUCCAUGUGGGGAAUAACUUAACCCACCCAACAAAACUCUCCACUAGCAACAUAGCUGCUUUAUCAUAUAACUAGAGGCCUAGCCUCUUUUAAUAACUGGUGCAAAGCCCUUUCUGAUAAACUGGGGCAAAGCCCUUUUUGGUAAACUAGGGCAGAGCCCUUUUAGCACUUCCUCCAUCAAUAUAACCCAUAUCCCAUGCAAUAUGUCAUGUAUGCAGAAUGUCAUGCCCAUGUUUGAAUCAAACAAUCACAGUCAAGUCAUUCAUAUCACCAACAUAUAUUCACAAUCAAAUCCGUCAACCACACAGUCCAAGUCAGUCACUUGCCCACAAGGGCAAAACAGUCAUUUUUCAUAUUAUAAGGGUAUUUUCGUAAUUUUACCAAAAAUCAGGGUUUUCCAUGUUCAUUACAAUUGUCAAUAUUUUCGAGUGUUUAAAUAAAGAUCUUUAACCCACUUAUCAAAUUCGGGCUUUUGGGCCCAAAACCCCUAAUGGGCCCUACGAAUGCUGAUUUAGCCCACUAAGCCUGCUUAACCCAAAUUUUACAACAAUACUAACCGUGUUAACAUGCAACUUUUCCAAAUUCCAUUUUCUAUCAAUUUUACCCAAAUGGGCCCAAAAGCCCAUUUGGCCCAAUUCCUACCCAUUGAGGCCCAACUUACCAUCGUGCACAAAAUUGAGUUCUUACCCGUUCCAUCGAUCCAAACACUGAUCUUAUCGUAUUUAUUGCAUCAAUACCCACACGCAACAUUACAAGUUCCCGAAAUACCGGUAUUUUAGCAUUUCAGCUUCUCAGCAGAUAUUAAUCUAAGCUACUACGAGGGUUAGUAGACACCUGUUAUGGGUUGAAGUUGAAACGUUUCCAUAAUCAAUCACCUAUGAUAACCACCGCCUGUCACUCAAACAUAACUAAUCCAAUAUCAAUAUAUGUAAAUCCUAAGCACAUCAGUCAUACGGAACAUAAGGGCAUAUUCGUCAUUUUACCAUACAAGGGUAUUACGGUCACUUUACCCUAUAGGGGCUUUACGGUCUUUUUACCUAUUAGGGGUAUUUUAGUCAUUUCAUCCUACAAGGGUGUUUUGGUAAAUCUACAAACCAAGGGUAUUUCAGUAAUUUUGUAAACCAAUGGUAUUUCUAUAAUUUUUAAAAAGUAAAGGGUAUUUCUGUAAUUUUGUAAAUUAGGGGUAUUUUGGUAAUUUUAUAAAUUGAGGGUAUUUCGGUAAUUUCACAAACCAGUGGUAUUUUGGUAAUUUUACAAACUAGGGUUAUUUCAGUCAUUUCAUAAUCGAGGGUAAAACGGUAAUUUUGUAAAUUGAGGGUAAAAUGGUAAUUUUGUAAAUUGAGGGUAAAAUAGUAAUUUUGUAAAUUGAGGGUAAAAUGGUAAUUUUGUAAAUCGAGGGUGAAACGAUAAUUUUAUAAAUCUGGGGUAAAACGGUAAUUCUAUAAAUCAAGGGUAAAACGGUAAUUUUAUAAAUUGAGGAUAAAAUGGUAAUUCUAUAAAUCGAGGGUAAAAUGGUAAUUCUGUAAAUAGAGGGUAAAAAAUGGUAAUUCUGUAAAUCGAGGGUAAAAUGGUAAUUCUAUAAAUCGAGGGUAAAACGGUAAUUCUGUAAAUCGAUGGUAAAACAGUAAUUUUACAAAUUGAGGGCAUUUCAGUAAUUUGGUAAACUAAAGUAUUCUAAACAGGGAUAAUAAUACGAAUGGGCCUAAAGCCUAUUCUCGGCCCAAAUGGGCCCACACGCUCGUGUGGCCCUUUUAGCCCAAAUCUAGCCACAAAUAUGAGAUUCACCUAGCCUAGUCCAAUAUUUACUACACAAUCAAAUAACUUAUCCAAUUGGGCCCGUAGGCCCAUUGGACCCACAUGACCCCUUUCAGCCCAUCGCGGCCCGAAGUAGCCAUCCUAUAGCUAGAGUAGUGAGAAAUACACACUUGAUUGGAGACUGGAGUUAAUCCACGCUCUGAGCACUCUUAGCCGACGCCCAACCCAAACGAGCACGCCAUAAAGCGAAAGGGAUCAGCCAAGAAAGGU